This 83-nucleotide transfer RNA is filed under the name Gordonia phage Forza. Its description in RNAcentral is "tRNA-Tyr". It matches the Rfam family "tRNA". Rfam says of the family: Transfer RNA (tRNA) molecules are approximately 80 nucleotides in length. Their secondary structure includes four short double-helical elements and three loops (D, anti-codon, and T loops). Lineage: Duplodnaviria; Heunggongvirae; Uroviricota; Caudoviricetes. RNAcentral also lists the same sequence under 3 other names. The record is from RNAcentral.
GCGGAUGAUGGUCGACUGGAAGACCGGCUGACUGUAAAUCAGUUGCGGCAACGCGUAGAGAGUUCGAAUCUCUCCAUCCGUAC